AGUGAACGCUGGCGGUAGGCCUAACACAUGCAAGUCGAACGGCAGCACAGUAAGAGCUUGCUCUUACGGGUGGCGAGUGGCGGACGGGUGAGGAAUACAUCGGAAUCUACUUUUUCGUGGGGGAUAACGUAGGGAAACUUACGCUAAUACCGCAUACGACCUACGGGUGAAAGCAGGGGAUCUUCGGACCUUGCGCGAUUGAAUGAGCCGAUGUCGGAUUAGCUAGUUGGCGGGGUAAAGGCCCACCAAGGCGACGAUCCGUAGCUGGUCUGAGAGGAUGAUCAGCCACACUGGAACUGAGACACGGUCCAGACUCCUACGGGAGGCAGCAGUGGGGAAUAUUGGACAAUGGGCGCAAGCCUGAUCUAGCCAUACCGCGUGGGUGAAGAAGGCCUUCGGGUUGUAAAGCCCUUUUGUUGGGAAAGAAAAGCAGCAGGUUAAUACCCCGCUGUUCUGACGGGACCCAAAGAAUAAGCACCGGCGAACUUCGU
This 491-nucleotide ribosomal RNA is filed under the name uncultured bacterium. Its description in RNAcentral is "partial 16S ribosomal RNA". It matches the Rfam family "Bacterial small subunit ribosomal RNA", at positions 29 to 506 of the family's 1533-position model. The record is from RNAcentral.